UGCCCUAUGGUGUAACGGCAGCACAGGAGUCUCUAAAACUCUUAGUCUGGGUUCGAAUCCUAGUGGGGUAAC
RNAcentral lists this transfer RNA (72 nucleotides) under uncultured phage cr7_1. Its description in RNAcentral is "tRNA-Gln". It matches the Rfam family "tRNA". Rfam says of the family: Transfer RNA (tRNA) molecules are approximately 80 nucleotides in length. Lineage: Duplodnaviria; Heunggongvirae; Uroviricota; Caudoviricetes; Crassvirales; Darmviridae. RNAcentral also lists the same sequence under 2 other names. The record is from RNAcentral.